ACAACGAAGAGUUUGAUCCUGGCUCAGGAUGAACGCUAGCGACAGGCUUAACACAUGCAAGUCGAGGGGCAGCAUGAACUUAGCUUGCUAAGUUUGAUG
RNAcentral lists this ribosomal RNA (99 nucleotides) under Parabacteroides faecalis. RNAcentral describes it as "partial 16S ribosomal RNA". It matches the Rfam family "Bacterial small subunit ribosomal RNA", at positions 1 to 94 of the family's 1533-position model. Lineage: Bacteria; Pseudomonadati; Bacteroidota; Bacteroidia; Bacteroidales; Tannerellaceae. The record is from RNAcentral.